Long non-coding RNA from Biomphalaria glabrata, 1123 nucleotides. RefSeq lists it as uncharacterized. NCBI's taxonomy places the organism in Eukaryota, Metazoa, Mollusca, Gastropoda, Planorbidae. The transcript is spliced from 3 exons. The record is from RefSeq and is a predicted model, not a curated record.
AAAUAACUUAAAAUGAAUGCAAUAGAAUAGUAGAUACGUUAUUUUACCUUGGCUAUAAAUUUACAGGUUUUAAAAAUAUUUUGAUAAUUGAAGAAAAUUCAUUUAGAGAGAAAUUUAAUUUUAAAAAGAUUAAGAAAUGGAAAGGAUUACAAGAGACCAGUUAGAAUGUGCACGCAACAUAAUAAUAGAACUUCAAAGUUGCCCCACAUGUCACCAAAGAGAUUCUGCUUGCUUUGUGAACAGACCAUGUCUUCACAUCACUUACUGUGUCUCAUGCUGCAACGGGGAAAAAAAUGCAAGAUUUGUCUCAAAGAUGCAAAAUUUCAAACAUCUUUUGAUCUGUUUCAUCAAGAGACACAAGAACAAGAAGACGUCGCUCUCAACGUGUGACAUAGAUGUAUAUCAAGUCAACAUGCGCAAUAUUUUAAGAUUUUUACUUUAUUAACUACGCUGUAUAGUAUUCUUUUAAUCCUACUUAACUUAAAUGCAUAUAUGAUUUGGUAAGUUAGUAAUUGUUGGUAGUGGAAACAUACAUUUUUUUGUUACUUUAUUUUGGUUUACAAAUUAAAAUGUAAAUUUCGACACUUAUUAAACACUAAAUGAAAUGAGAUAAUUUUUACAUUAGUUUGAUCUUAAAAUAAUAACAAUAAAGAAUAUAACACUCUUUCAUAAUCUAAACUUUAACAUGAUGCGAUCAUGUGUACCAAUUGCUCUGUAUUGCUGAAACAAAGUGAAUUUGUACCAAGAAAAUAUUUUUUUUUUAAAGAAUAUUAAAUCUGUUUUUCUUAUAUGUUUCAUUUAAGUUUUUUAGAUUGAAAUAUUAUUACAUCCGAACCCAAACCUUCAGCAGGAAGUCGUGGUAUGGCAUUGGGAAGGUUUCGAGCUUGGACUAUCUAGAGUCCUAAACCAGAGUUCAGAGCGCCUAUCACAAAACCAGGCAGUUAUUUUUUAAAAAAAUAUUGGUAAAUAUUAAGAAUUGCUCUCACAGGGAUGUCAAUGAUAACAGCAUUAUCUUUAAAAAACAACAACCGAGAGAGGAAUUCGAAACAAUAACGUCGUUUUGCCCCAAGAACUUUCCUACUACAAUCAAAGCAAAAAAGACAAAUAAAUAAAACAAUAUAGA